RNAcentral lists this ribosomal RNA (318 nucleotides) under uncultured Ruminococcus sp. RNAcentral's name for it is "bacterial SSU rRNA". It matches the Rfam family "Bacterial small subunit ribosomal RNA", at positions 355 to 686 of the family's 1533-position model. The record is from RNAcentral. Lineage: Bacteria; Bacillati; Bacillota; Clostridia; Eubacteriales; Oscillospiraceae.
UGGGGAAUAUUAGGCAAUGGGCGAAAGCCUGACCUAGCAACGCCGCGUGAGGGAAGAAGGUCUUCGGAUUGUAAACCUCUGUCCUUGGUGAAGAACACAAUGACAUUAGCCAAGGGAGAAAGCUCCGGCUAACUACGUGCCAGCAGCCGCGGUAAUACGUAGGGAGCGAGCGUUGUCCGGAAUUACUGGGCGUAAAGGGUGCGUAGGCGGUAGGCUAAGUUGGAUGUGAAAUACCUGGGCUUAACUUGGGGGCUGCAUUCAAAACUGGUUUACUAGAGUUCAGGAGAGGGAAGCGGAAUUCCUAGUGUAGCGGUAAAU